GACGAACGCUGGCGGCGUGCUUAACACAUGCAAGUGGAGCGACGAACCAGGCUUCGGCCUGGGGCAGAGCCGCGAACGGGUGAGUAACACGUGGGUAACCUGCCCUGAUGAUCGGGACAACCCGGGGAAACCCGGGCUAAUACCGAAUGUGCUGCUCUCGCAUCAGUGAGAGUAGGAAAGGAAGCUUCGGCCUCCGCAUCAGGAUGGGCCCGCGGCCCAUUAGCUUGUUGGNGAGGUAACGGCUCACCAAGGCUUCGAUGGGUAGCUGGUCUGAGAGGACGAUCAGCCACACUGGGACUGAGACACGGCCCAGACUCCUACGGGAGGCAGCAGUGGGAAUCUUGCGCAAUGCGCGAAAGCGUGACGCAGCAACGCCGCGUGGGGGAAGACGGCCUCGG
This 398-nucleotide ribosomal RNA is filed under the name uncultured bacterium. Its description in RNAcentral is "bacterial SSU rRNA". It matches the Rfam family "Bacterial small subunit ribosomal RNA", at positions 28 to 420 of the family's 1533-position model. The record is from RNAcentral.